AAACCCAAGUUAGCCUAUAAACAAAUUGUAACCCAAUUCAACCAGUAUUAGGGAUGUCAAUGGGUCAGAUUCAAGAUGGAUUUUCAAAAAUCCAAAUGCGAACUCAAAUUCGAUGGAUUUUAAAAAUCCAUAUCCAAACCAGCACCCGAUCAAAAAUUCGAAACCUACAACGGAAUCUGAACUCUAAAAUCCGAACCCAAAAUAAAUAUUUUUCUUUCCAAUAUUUCAAAACAUAUUACAUUAAAUCUAAAUUUUUAAAACACAAAUUUAAAUAUAACGUCAAACAUUUUUAUAUAUAUUAUAUAAUGUAAAAUCAACUCAGGUGUGAGGCGGGUUCGGAUUUGGGUUAGAUAUAGUCAAAAUUCAUAUCUGAAUUCAAAUCCGUUGGGUUUCAUUUGUAAUAUCUAUAUCUAAAACUAUAUAUGUUCAUAUCUGCUAUGUUCAUAUCUGCUUCAUUCAGGUUCAGGUUCGGAUAAAAUUUCGGAUAUCCACACCUGAUUGACAUCCCUAACCAGUUCGAAGUCAGCCUAUAAUCUUAAUUUAGCCUAUUAACAAAUCCAAUCCAUAAACUAAUUCAGAUAAUAAAUUGAAUCCAUUCAUAAACUAAAUCCAGCUCACAAACAAAAUUCAAUCCAUAAAAUCUAGUUAAGCCCAAAACCGAUCGAGUCUACAACCCAAAUCAAACUCAUAAAUCAAACUAAACCCAUAAACCAAAUUCGAUCUAUAAAGCAACUCCAACCAACAUCAAAGAAACCAAAUCUAGCCCACAAAUCAAAUCCAGCCCACAUAAUAUAAUUACCCAGAAAUCAAAUUCAAAGAUCAUUACAUUUUUGUUAGCCUUUUAAGUAUUAUUUUUUAACUUUUUUUUUGUAAAUUGGGGGUAAAUAAUAUUUUGGGUUAAUUGUAUUCAGCGCCCUGCAAACAUAUCGAAUAUUGAAUAGUAAAUAUAUCAUUACAAUGUUCAACUUUUUAUUUUUAUUUCUGAAAAAGUCAAGUGAUAUUUAUAGUUGUCCCUCUGGUUUGUUACUGUUAGAGCAUAGUUUAUUUUUUAAUAGAAGUAAGUGAAUAAUAUUUUAGCCGUUACAAAUAUAUCUCUCCAAAAGCCCGAACUAUUAGAAUUAUGUAGAAAUAUUCUUCCAACAAGUAUUUUAUCAAAUAAUAUAAGAGGGAUAAAAAAGUCAAUUUAAUUUAUUCAUUAAUUAGGGUUAAAUAUUUUACUCAUGGUUAACUGUAUUUUUCUAAUGGAUUGUAACAGCAACGAUAUAUUUAAAAACGACGGGAUUUUUGGAGGGAUAAAAUUAAAAAGUUGAACUUUUUAAGUUUAUCG
RNAcentral lists this long non-coding RNA (1327 nucleotides) under Ananas comosus (pineapple). Its description in RNAcentral is "long non-coding RNA (ACOM_LNC013175)". The record is from RNAcentral. Lineage: Eukaryota; Viridiplantae; Streptophyta; Magnoliopsida; Poales; Bromeliaceae.